UGUCUCUUAGCUCAGUUGGUAGAGCGCCAGUUUGACGUGCUGGAGGUCACAGGUUCGAGUCCUGUAGAGGCUA
Non-coding RNA from Procambarus clarkii (red swamp crayfish), 73 nucleotides. The record is from the annotation of a RefSeq genome assembly. Lineage: Eukaryota; Metazoa; Arthropoda; Malacostraca; Decapoda; Cambaridae.